UCUUUAAGAAUCACGAACAUGUGUUCGUGUUUUCAUAAAAUACGAUUUGUAUUUUUAGUAUAGGAAAGCUCACCUUGAUCUCUUAGUUCCUUUAACUUGAAUCUUUCGUUCCGACUUUACUUGCGAAGGUAACCUUUUUUAAAACUUCAUAAUAUAAUAAUACACAAAUUAGACUCAAGGACAAAACUACUUAAAUUAGAAUGCAUGCCUUAUAAAAGUCUUUUAUCUCGUUUCUCGAUUUUCGCAUAUUUUCGAUUAUUCGUCGACCGCCUAAGGCGUCGCCUGCGACGCUGGUUGGCCACUCACGCCCAUAUUUCCACCUUUGACUCCUCGUAUUUUCCCUCCACGAUAUCGAACUAAAUCCCAAAAUUUAUAAAAGUGCACAAUUAAAUUUUCGCAACCAUUUCCCCUCGAAAAUAUAUUUAUUCCGGACUUGAGAUAAAUUAUUCAUACUUUAAAAAUUAUUCCGGAAUUUAAUUAAAUAAUUUCAUCACGAUUAAUUAUUGGCACAAAACUUAAUUAUUUCUCCCCCUUAUAUCUCCAAGUAAAAUUUUAAGGCCAAAGACAAUUUAAAUGGAGCCAAAACUAAACAAAACAUCCCAUUUAAUUGCUAAGGCCCAAUUUCUUUAAAAAAAACAAAGGCCCAAAUCCUUUUUUUUAAAAUCAAAAGGCCCAUUUCUACUGCCACCAUCUCCACGCCUCUUUCUCUCUUCUCGACCAAAUUGAGCAAUUUCUCCCAAAUUUUCCUACACUCCACACCAGAGCCGUCGGUCGUCUCCCUUCCGACGCUCGCUGACUCCUGCGACGUAGGCAUCGUCCGAUUUCCUUCCGUCGUACGCCGUUGUACCCAACGCCGCUGCGGUGCAGUUUUCUCCACCAUCGCGUCGACCCUCACACUGGGAAGACGCUGCUGUCGCUGCUGUCACCGCCGGGCUCCGACGCCGCAACAGGCGCUCCGACGCCGCUGUUGAUUCUGCCGUCAAUUCGUCCUCAGCGUUCACCCCCGAGCUCCGCCUUCUGUGGUGAACCGCGGCCGUCGUCGUCGUCAAAGUGGAGGAACUCUGCCGCCGCAUCGCUCCAGCCUUCUCCAGCGACGAGGACGAGCUUCUCCACCGCCGAUCCCCCUGGGUUUGAGAGUCCUCCGCUGCUGUCGUCCAAUCCAGCCAUCGUUCAUCACCGAACCAACCCUGAAACGUCCCGAAACUAACCCGAAAAGCCCCGCACAACCCCGAAACAGCCCCCCCUUCAUGGAUUGAAGGUUUAGAUUGGGGAAGGAGAUUUACCUCGAUAACUCGAUAUUGGUGGUGAAAUUGCAGGACCGAAAGGAGUAGCCAACUGGAUUUUGCAGAUUCAGUUUUUGUAAUUCAAUUGAUUGAGCUCUCGGUUUCUUGAAUUUUCUUGAUGCGGAAACCGAUCAGAAGAAGAAAAUGGAUUGAAGAUUUAAUAUUGAGGGAGAGUAGUUAAUGAUACGAGAGAGAUUUAGGGGUGAGGAGAGUGGGCGGUUUGGAUGUGGGAGGAGGAAAAUAUCUAAGAAUUUUUUAAUUAAAUUGAUUUAUUGACUUGGUGACCAAGUUAGAUAAAUUUGAAUUUUUUAGUAAUUAAUUGAUUAUUUAUUUAUUUACUUGUUUAUUUAAUUUGGCGUAUGUAUAAUCGGUUCAAGUUCGUGGCCGUCCACGUUGAAGUACCCGCUUUCUUAAAACGUAGGAUGUAUUAAAUUUUGUUGGAUGUAUUGGACAUCAAUAUUUUGGUUUUGGGAACUUAUUUAAUUAUUUAUUUAUUUAAA
Long non-coding RNA from Salvia splendens (bonfire salvia), 1783 nucleotides. RefSeq lists it as uncharacterized. The record is from RefSeq and is a predicted model, not a curated record. NCBI's taxonomy places the organism in Eukaryota, Viridiplantae, Streptophyta, Magnoliopsida, Lamiales, Lamiaceae. The transcript has 2 exons.